Molecule: long non-coding RNA, 6156 nt
Organism: Neofelis nebulosa (Clouded leopard)
Lineage: Eukaryota; Metazoa; Chordata; Mammalia; Carnivora; Felidae
Exons: 2
Source: RefSeq, a predicted model, not a curated record
GUGAACUGAAUGCUCAUUGGAAUUCCAGUUCAAGCCUAGACAUGUACGUCCGGGAAAAAACUGAUCAUCUUUCCAGCCCCACCCUUCGUGAAUGAUCCCCCUUGUAUGUUUCCUACUGAGUUAAUGGUCCACCAUCCACCACUACCCACGUGGAAAUAACAUUCCAGGGCUGCCUCAUCUGGUUUUAUUUUUUCCCAAGACGAUACAGAAAUCUGUAUUUUUAUAUAAAUAAACUUAACAUAACUAUUUAUUUUACAUAAACCUAUAUUUUAUGUAAAAAUUCAAAAGGUUGAUGACCGAUUCUUAUUUUUAAACAACACUGUGAAGGCCAAAUUAAAUAUACGAGCUGGCUGGAUGUGGUUUGUGGAGGUCCAGUGUGUGACCUCUGUGUGAGGCAUAAUUCCCAGAAAUUUACUGGCGUAAACAUCUAAAGAAAAGGCUGCAAAUAGAUUUGAAGGUGUUGGAUUCCUUUAAUAUCAGGCUGAUUUUUCUUUUUCUGAGUCCUAGUUCUAGGUUCCGUGGGAGAGGAAACUCCUGAUUUAUUUAUUUUUUUUAAGUUUAUUUAUUUUGUGGGGGAGAGAGAGCAUGCACGUGCGCACGUGAGCCAGAGAGGGGCAGAGAGAGAGGGAGGGACAGAGAGAGAGGGAGAGAGAAUCCUAAGCAGGCUGGGCACACUGUCGGCACAGAGCUGGGCUCGGGGCUCGAUCUCACAGACCGUGAGAUCAUGACCAGAGCAGAAAAAGAGUCGGACGCUUAACCGACUGAGCCACCCCGGCGCCCUGAGGACACUCCUGAUUUAAACCCUGGGUUUAUGGCAUCCUAAUCCUUCCACAUUCUUGGAACAGAAAUUUCAACACUACAUAACAGGAGCCGAGGCUAUCUGGAGGAAGAGGGGAAUAUGACACUUUACCGCAGGAAAAACAAGAUUUCAGCUUUUUGCCUUUCUUCCAAUUGAAAUUUCCGAAAUGUCUAUCUUUUCUCAAACAAAAUGUCCAUUACUUCUGGGGAAACAGUAAGUCAGCAAAAUCCGGAAGAAUAAAGCUGAGCUUGGGAAUCAAGUGUUCUUGGUAAUAUACAAAAUUGCAGGCCACAAUUCAGCUAAUGGGGAGACUUCCUAUUUGUUCAGCAAUCAGGUUGUAAUUUUAAAAUGCUGAUUAGGGAAUGCAUAGGGCAUGAACAGGGGAAGUUGGAAAUGGGACAUCCUGUCUGAUGCAACCCUCAUGUCACCCAAUAUGGUUGCCCAUAACACCCAACUGGCUAUAAUUAGAGUGAGUACGAGGUGAGCAAAUACCACUCCUGUCCACUUCUUCUUUUCAUCAAAUCCAUUCUGUUUUUAUAAGAUCAAACCACAGGGAAUAGCUCCUUUACCUUUUCUGAUGCGUCUCGGCACUCAGCACGUGAGCUGAGAAAGAGUAGAACCGGAAUAGACAAGCCUAUGGUAGUACUUUGAGAAAAGAAUAAAGGAGGGAGAUUCUGGGGACAGUGUAGAAUAGGUAAGACUUGGGGGGGGGUAGAGAGAGGGAAGGGUGAUGUGUCGCAGGCUCAGGGAGUCAGCCCUACCGAUCUGGGGUAGAAGGUAAGGGGUUGAAAUGUAGGGUAAUUUCUGGGAGAGCAGGUGAUCCCGUCAGAUUGGCAAACAGGAAGUGUCCGGCCAGAGGUAUGGCUAAACAGCAGGCACAGUUGGGCUUUUUUGUUACUAAUCAUAGGCACAAUCUGUGUGGUAAAGCACGGCUGCCAUGAGUGAACAGUUCCUAUUAUGUGCCUUUGCUCCCCAAAUGGAACCAUUAUUUCUGGUUUUAUCAGUUGAAAAGCCAACAGCCGUUCUAAUAGUCCUUGACUUCCAUAUUUCCUCUCAAGAGCAAGAAACAAGGGUACUUCAUUAAAGAGUGAACUGCAGUGUCUUUGACUGCAUUCUCUUUCCCAGCUCUCUUAUUUCUGCUUCCAGAAUAAUCUUCUUAAAACACUGAGGCAAAAUUACAAGUUCUCCAUAAAUACUUGCUGAUCGGCUGACGUUCACGAAGACAGUAGCUUUCUGUGUGUGCAUUUGCAGACAUAACUUGAGCUAACCAUCUAUUAGUCAAGACGAUGCAGAGAGGAGGUUCAUCGUGGAGUUUUUGUUCACUGGGACAUCUUAAGACCAGCCGGGAUUGCAGAGAAGUGUUCACCAGGUCAACCAACUGCCCCGACUUAAGUUUUAGAGUAUAAAUAUAGGUGAUAUCUGGAAAUGGAAAGCAAAGCUUUAUAGAAAGCUUGGCUUGAAACCUCAUACCUCUUCUCAUUUAAUGUUUAUUACCUGUCCUGUCCCAGGGAUUUUUAUCCCCAUGGCACAACUGCGUAAACCAAGGUUGAGAGAUGUUGGAUAAGUUGCUCAAGGUCCUAGGGCUGUUUGCGAUGGAGAUAUAGUUUGCCCUCGGUCCCUUCUACUGUAUUUCCAGGUCACCCCGUGUUCCAUGCUUCCUCUCAGACUGCUCAAAGCUGGGAACAGAACUGGCAGUGUAACCUGAACUCCAUUCUCUAAGGAGACAGAGAGGCAAGGGUGGAGGGAAAGAGACAGGCUUAUGCCAAGAGGGCCACGGGCCAAGUGUAAGAGGCAGGGCACCUUUUCAAGGGGGGCAAAGCUUUGCUUAUGCUUGCCAUGGGUACUACUAGAAGUAUCUAAGAACCUCUUUUGCUCUGAGGUAAAGGGUUAGUUAACCUGCGCUCAUGGGCGAGGGUGGCUAGUUCGUAAGUGGUGCCGUGGGACUCUGGGUUUCCUCCUGGCUAGAGAGAGAGUGUGAAGAAUGGUAACCAUUCCUUGGAAUUCUUCACUUCUAGGGAAAAGGUGAUUUCAAAAGCCAUCGGCUAAGAAUCGCACGAUUCUUGGUGAACAGUGCCAUCUAGCGACCUGCUGUAUUUAGUUCCAGCCCGGUAGGGCAACCUUGUAGGAAAGACUGGCUUCACGAGACACGGAGAGCUAAUCACAAAACCGUGGAAGAGGAGUUCCAGGCUCUCCUGUGUUCUUCCAGAACUUCUUUCCUGUCUAUACAUGGAAGAUACAGACAUCUCACUCACCACUCUCUUGCAGAAGAAGUUUAGAAGGGGGUUGCCCAUGCAUUCAUUUGACACAUUUUUAUUCAGUGCCUGUUAUGCGCCCGCCAUGGUUGCAUGGUUGCGGGUCCUGGGGAUGCGCCAUGGGGAAAAUUAAAUAAAAAUCCCUGCUUGUAUGGGCACAGAGACCAGAGACAAGAAAAAACUGAAUGGAGAGUAUCUCAGAUGGCCAUGAGUGCCAAGGAGAAAAAUAAAGCAGUUGGAAGGGGUGUGGGAGGUGUUGGGGAGAGGAGGGCUUGAUAAAGAGUAGGAAGGGAAGGUGUCGCUGGAAGGUUCCAUUUGAACAAAGACCUGAAGGAGAGAAGGGAACAUGAGGGGGAAAAGCAUUCCUGGCAGGAGGAACAUGGAGGAGGCAAGGGUGGAUGGAGGAGAGAGAAGAGGGGCAGAUACAUAGGAAAAGAGGUCGGAAUGGUCAUGCUUGGGCAUGUGGAGGAGGGACGAGAAGCCACUGGAUAUUUGGACUUAUAUUUGAACAGAAUCACUUAGGCAGCUGUGCUGAAAACAAAGGUGUCUUGGGAGGGGCGCCUGGGCGGCUCAAUCGCUUGAGCGUCCGAGUUCAGCUCAGAUCAUGAUCUCACGGUUUGUGAGUUCGAGCCCUGCGUCGGGUUCUGUGCUGACAGCGCGGAGCCCAUUUCAGAUCCUCUGUCCCCGCCCCUCUCUCUGCACCUUCCCUGUUCACUCUCUUUCUCUCAAAAAUAAACAAAACAUUAAACAAAAAGGUGCCCUGGGAGAUUCACAGUUCCCUUUAGCACAUUUAAAAACUCCACAAACCCCAGUUUAUUAUUUAUUUAACGUUGUUUAACGAGGACUUUCCAGGCUUACACAGAUCUCUUUCUUCCCGCAACACCCACUACCUUCUUGCGGGACCCGAGAAACAAAAGUCAGCGCUGAUAAGCAGACUGUGAUGUUCCCGACAGUCAUAAAUGACUCGAGCCCAAAGCCAACAGAAAGCAGUGAUUUUCCCAAGGCCACACCACAACUGCAAAGGAGCUACCGUUGAGUGACUAAUUCUUUCUUAUCAGUACCUUCCGCAGAUUUGCUCCAUUCCUCCGUUAUGAAACCACGCCACUUCACGGCCACUGGCAGUCCGGGCCCGAUUCCUGUAUCCCCUACCCUUCCCACCUUAGAGUCACUUAGCACAAACCCAAAACCCCACCAAAAAACCCCUUCCUACAGCCACCGUGGUUCAUUUGGUGUACGUUUUCCCUUGCUGCACCAAGUGAAGAAAAUGAACAUCGACUGGGUGAACCUGGCGAUCUUGACCUACAGCUUUAUCUAUCUGCCCCUAGGAUUUUGUAGAUCAAAGUUUAAGAAGAGCUGGACAAAAUAACGACUUCCUACCAUCAUAUUCUUUGAGUCUAAGGCAGAGAUACCGUGCCCCGCUAAAACGUCUUGCGUACCAAGUGGAACACAAUGUCUGGUCCAUGAAAGUGGAACACUACCAGAAAGGAGGCUGGUGCUUGUGCUGAGCCGCCUUCAGCAGCUCCACGUCCCACAUUGCUGAUGAGUGAGAGCCUCUGUUAUAAAUGGAAACGUGAACUGGCAAGUGCUCACCGGCUAACGCUGAACCCACCAGCUUAUUUUGCUACCUAUUAUGUACGUGAUCUGCGAUUUUGCUUAUCGAUUGCAAAUAUGCACGAGGAAUAGGAAGCUGGCGUGUUUUCCAAAAACGAGACGGAGCGUUUUCGCUGCUGCGUGUCUCAACCAGGUAUGGCUUCGACUUUUCAUCAUUUCUCUGAGAUCAGAAACAGCCUUUGGUGGGCUUCUAAUUUUUUUUUUUUUUUUAAUAGAAGUUUGGCUCCCGAGACUGUUUCAGAGCCUUUAGGAAAGAUACCAAGUGGACGAGACAUGUCUGAAAAUAUUUAAAGUGGCGAUUUCCUAGGCCCUCCUUCUCCACUUUCUCCGUAGACAUCUGUUCCCAUAUGUGGAGGUUUAAGUCAGCCUCUAUCUACAGAUGACCCUUGUCUGACCUCACUCUCUGGAAUGCUCUGCCUGCCUCUGUCUUUCAUGCCAGAGCACAUCAACACUACCUUCUGCUGGCAUUCCUGAUAGGAUCUCUUUCUCCCGAGCUCUUGAAAGAAUCCUGCUUCAGCAACUCUAGAGAAUGGUGGGAGAGUCGGUCUUUAAAAACAGAUUUAUCCCAUACCAAGGACAGGAAUCACUUAUUUUGCACCACUGUGUGCAUUGACUCUUCUUUUCUCCCAAUCCAUGAACAUAGUAUAGAUUCUUAGGUCCCCUUGACCCAGGAAUGCAGUUUCCCAUGCCUACAUAGGCCAAGUCCUUCGUUCUCAGAGAAUCUAAUUACGUUAGCCUGUGUAUUUUCUUUAAAACGGUUAUCACAACCUAAAAUUACCUUGUUUAUUUGCUUACAUAUUCACUGUCUAUCUCCUCUAUCUGGAAAGUAAACUCCAUGAGAGCAGGCUCUUUCUUUUUUUUUUUUUUAAAGAAAAGUCUUUUUUAAAUUAUUUCUUUAUUUUUAGAGAGAGAGAGAGAGAGAGAGUGCACAUGAGCAAGGGAGAGAGGGAGAAUCUAAAGCAGGCUCCACACUCAGUGUGGGGACCAACUCUCAGGUCUCCAUCCCAUGACCCCGGGAUCCUGACCUGAGCCAAAAUCGAGAGUCAGACACUCAACCGACUGAGCCACUCAGGCGCCGUGAGAGCAGGGCCUUAUGUGUCUUCUCCCAGCAUCCAGAGCAAUGCUUGUCCACAUAAUAGGUGCUCAUGGAAUAUUUGCCAACUGACUGACUUACAGAAUCAGUCGUUAAAACAUCAUAUGAAAAUUAGCUUUCCAUUAACUCCUUCUAAGUGUCAUUUUCUUGUCUCUCUUGAACGAUGAUAUUGUCCAAAUGGAGCUAGUAUUGUAACCAAAUACCAAUUAACUAUGUUAGUGGCUUUUGAGAUUUGGGACCCCCUUUACACCCUUAAAAGUUGUUGAAGACCCAAAGAGCUAGUGUUCAUGUGAGUCAUAUCUGUCAUUAUUUAGUGUGAUAGAAAUGAAAACUGAGAAGAGUUCAAAAUAUUUAUCUACUAAUUCAUUAAAAAUAAUAAACCCAUUAUAUGUUAACAUUCA